CAUAAGGGACAGUGAUUAACUUCAUUUAGUCUGGAGGUGGGACCGUGGCCAGAAAGGCUUCCAAGAAGGAGUGACACCUGGGCUGGGUUUUAAAGGAUGAGCAGGAGUUCAUUAUGUGCACCAGAAAUAGAUCUUGGCAUUCCAGGCAACGGAAGAGCCUGAAUGUGUCCUGACUUCUUGCUUAGCAAAAUUGGAUCACCCUGCACUUUGGGAGGCCGAGGCGGGCGGAUCACGAGGUCAGGAGAUCGAGACCAUCCCAGCUAAAACGCCUGAUUAUAGUAACUGGCUCUGAAUUGCUGCUUCUGCUCAACUUCCUGGAUGCUAGCAGUACCCAGGGAUGUAAAGACCUUUCAACUAGAGCUCAUAGGUUCACAGAUGCAGAGGAAUUUUGCCUCAGGAUGAAUUGCAUCUUCAGUCUCACCCAAACCUGAUUUAGAUAAUAUUUCAAUGAGACUUCGGACUUCAGACUUUACAGUUGAUGCUGCAACCAAACAAGAAGAUGGCCAUCUGCAAACCAGGAAGAGAGCCCUCAUCAGACACUGGAUCUGCCAGCACCUUGAUCCUGGACUUCACAGCCUCCAGAACUGUGAGAAAUACAUAUAUGUUUUUUAAAGCACCCAGUCUGUGGCAUUUUGUUGUAGCAACCUGAGCUAAAACAGUUGCUAUUGAACUCUGUUCAGAGCUCCAGAUGUCCUGUGCUGGCACUGGGCAGGGUGCUCUCCUGGGCCAUUUCAUCAGCUCAGAGGCCUCACCUUCCACCAUAUGCUGAAGACCUCAAAUCUACAUCACAGUGAGACCUCCCCUGAGGUCUAGGCUAUUAAGUUGUAAGAUCUAUAAAAGCUUUCAUCACCUCACUUCCCUACUGGCCUUUACUCACCCUUCAAAAUGAUAAUUGUGUUAGUCAUUGAAAGAUGUGGCUGGGAUGAGAGUUCAGUUUACAGACUCUGCAGCUGGACUGCCUGGGUUCUGCCCUGGUUCCACCAUUAACUAGCUGGUAUCCAUGGACAAAUUGGUAUCUUCUCGGUGCCUCAGCUCCCUCUUUUCUAGAAUGAGGGGUAAUGACAGUGUCUCCCUCAUAGAUUGGAUGUGAGGAUUAGAUGAGUUUAACAGAUGUAAAGUACUUACAACAGUUCCUGGCACAUAAUAAGCUCUUACUAUAUCAGGAACUAGCUUAUUCUGUGCUUGUUAGUGUUUUAAUUUAAUUCUUAGAGUAGCCCGAUGAGGCUUUGAGAGAACUUGCCCAGUUCCAGAGCUUAAGCUCUCAACUCCGUGCUGUUUUCUUGUCUUAAGGCAUAAACACUGUUGAGCCUUGGCCGAUUCCUGGCAGAGCCAGGCGCUCCCUCCUCCAUGUUGUCACCCUACUCCAGGCUUGCUCACCCUACUGUGGGCUUGUGCAUCAGCUCUCCACAGCUGCUUCUCACCUGUAAAAAAUCAGGCUUCGUUUGUCUCAUUCUUGCCAUAGAAUGCCUUGUCCAAUUAUAUGCAAGCUUAGUACAUGUUGUUAAAUAAAAGAUUCAAUAAACGAAUUCAUAAAC
Molecule: long non-coding RNA, 1535 nt
Filed under: Homo sapiens (human)
Lineage: Eukaryota; Metazoa; Chordata; Mammalia; Primates; Hominidae
Description: HSALNT0017006
Source: RNAcentral